This 330-nucleotide long non-coding RNA is filed under the name Anolis carolinensis (green anole). RNAcentral describes it as "lncRNA (ENSACAG00000031121.2)". Lineage: Eukaryota; Metazoa; Chordata; Lepidosauria; Squamata; Anolidae. The record is from RNAcentral.
GCUUGUCAACAUCUCCCUUCAAUUGCAGUGCCCAGAAUUGGACACAGUAUUCCAGGUGUGGUCUGACCAAGGCAGAAUAGAGAGCAAUCUUCAGAAGUCCAUGAACCAGGAACGAUGGAACAAGCCAGUGACAAGGACUAAACUGGAAAAUCAAGACAUCAAAGGGCAAACCAGGAUACAAGGUCAGAAGUGAGUAUUGAUCAAUGGCCAGGUUUACAGGAACAUCUGAGAGCUCAGGAAAAUCUUUGUAAUCAAAAAUCAACAAAAUCAGGAAACCUUCUUUUCUGCCCAAGAUUCUGGACAGCCUAAGUAUGUGGAGUCAUGCUAUAG